This 468-nucleotide ribosomal RNA is filed under the name uncultured bacterium. Its description in RNAcentral is "partial 16S ribosomal RNA". It matches the Rfam family "Bacterial small subunit ribosomal RNA", at positions 28 to 507 of the family's 1533-position model. The record is from RNAcentral.
GACGAACGCUGGCGGCGUGCUUAACACAUGCAAGUCGAACGGCAAGGCCCUGCUUUUGUGGGGUGCUCGAGUGGCGAACGGGUGAGUAACACGUGAGUAACCUGCCCUUGACUUUGGGAUAACUUCAGGAAACUGGGGCUAAUACCGGAUAGGAGCUCCUGCUGCAUGGUGGGGGUUGGAAAGUUUCGGCGGUUGGGGAUGGACUCGCGGCUUAUCAGCUUGUUGGUGGGGUAGUUGCUUACCAAGGCUUUGACGGGUAGCCGGCCUGAGAGGGUGACCGGCGACAUGGGGACUGAGAGACGGACCAGACGCCUACGGGAGGCAGCAGUGGGGAAUAUUGCACAAUGGGCGGAAGCCUGAUGCAGCAACGCCGCGGGCGGGAUGACGGCCUUCGGGGUGUAAACCGCUUUCGCCUGUGACGAAGCGGGAGUGACGGUAAUGGGUAAAGAAGCACCGGCUAACUACGUG